CAUACGACCGUACCGCAAACCGACACUGGUGCGCGAGAUGAGUAUUCUAAGGCGCUUGAGAGAACUCAGGAGAAGGAACUCGGCAAAUUGACACCGUAACUUCGGAAGAAGGUGUGCCCUAUUAGUGUGUAGUGAACAACGAAGCAUGAAUGGGUUGCAAAAAAUCGGUGGCUGCGACUGUUUAUUAAAAACACAGCACUCUGCAAACACGAAAGUGGACGUAUAGGGUGUGACGCCUGCCCGGUGCUGGAAGAUUAAAUGAUGGGGUGCAAGCUCUUGAUUGAAGUCCCAGUAAACGGCGGCCGUAACUAUAACGGUCCUAAGGUAGCGAAAUUCCUUGUCGGGUAAGUUCCGACCUGCACGAAUGGCGUAACGAUGGCCACACUGUCUCCUCCUGAGACUCAGCGAAGUUGAAAUGUUUGUGAUGAUGCAAUCUCCCCGCGGAAAGACGGAAAGACCCCAUGAACCUUUACUGUAGCUUUGUAUUGGACUUUGAACAGAUCUGUGUAGGAUAGGUGGGAGGCUUUGAAGCAGGGUCGCUAGAUCUUGUGGAGCCAACGUUGAAAUACCACCCUGGUGUGUUUGAGGUUCUAACCUAGGUCCAUUAUCUGGAUCGGGGACAGUGCAUGGUAGGCAGUUUGACUGGGGCGGUCUCCUCCCAAAGCGUAACGGAGGAGUUCGAAGGUACGCUAGUUACGGUCGGACAUCGUGACGAUAGUGCAAUGGCAUAAGCGUGCUUAACUGCGAGACUGACAAGUCGAGCAGAUGCGAAAGCAGGACAUAGUGAUCCGGUGGUUCUGUAUGGAAGGGCCAUCGCUCAACGGAUAAAAGGUACUCUGGGGAUAACAGGCUGAUACCGCCCAAGAGUUCAUAUCGACGGCGGUGUUUGGCACCUCGAUGUCGGCUCAUCUCAUCCUGGGGCUGUAGCCGGUCCCAAGGGUAUGGCUGUUCGCCAUUUAAAGAGGUACGUGAGCUGGGUUUAAAACGUCGUGAGACAGUUUGGUCCCUAUCUUCCGUGGGCGCUGCAGAUUUGAGGAAGCCUGCUCCUAGUACGAGAGGACCGGAGUGGACACACCUCUGGUGUAUCGGUUGUCACGCCAGUGGCAUUGCCGAGUAGCUAAGUGUGGAAGAGAUAACCGCUGAAAGCAUCUAAGCGGGAAACUCGUUUCAAGAUGAGAUCUGCCGGGGCCUUGAGCCCCCUAAAGAGUCGUUCAAGACCAGGACGUUGAUAGGUCAGGUGUGGAAGCGG
This 1249-nucleotide ribosomal RNA is filed under the name metagenome. RNAcentral describes it as "bacterial LSU rRNA". It matches the Rfam family "Bacterial large subunit ribosomal RNA", at positions 1635 to 2876 of the family's 2925-position model. The record is from RNAcentral.